Molecule: ribosomal RNA, 472 nt
Filed under: uncultured bacterium
Lineage: Bacteria
Description: partial 16S ribosomal RNA
Rfam family: Bacterial small subunit ribosomal RNA
Source: RNAcentral
GACGAACGCUGGCGGCGUGCUUAACACAUGCAAGUCGAACGAUGAACCCGGAGCUUGCUCUGGGGGAUUAGUGGCGAACGGGUGAGUAACACGUGAGUAACCUGCCCUGGACUCUGGGAUAAGCGUUGGAAACGACGUCUAAUACCGGAUAGGACCUUGGAUCGCAUGAUCUGGGGUGGAAAGUUUUUUCGGUCUGGGAUGGACUCGCGGCCUAUCAGCUUGUUGGUGAGGUAAUGGCUCACCAAGGCGUCGACGGGUAGCCGGCCUGAGAGGGUGACCGGCCACACUGGGACUGAGACACGGCCCAGACUCCUACGGGAGGCAGCAGUGGGGAAUAUUGCACAAUGGGCGAAAGCCUGAUGCAGCAACGCCGCGUGCGGGAUGACGGCCUUCGGGUUGUAAACCGCUUUUAGUAGGGGAGAAGGGCUUCGGCUUGACGGUACCUGCAGAAAAAGGACCGGCUAACUACGUG